Molecule: long non-coding RNA, 5265 nt
Filed under: Capsicum annuum
Lineage: Eukaryota; Viridiplantae; Streptophyta; Magnoliopsida; Solanales; Solanaceae
Description: long non-coding RNA (CANN_LNC008642)
Source: RNAcentral
CCUAGUUUCAAUGUUUUUUCCAAGACCUACACUAAGAUGGCUUUUACAAGCCCUACACUAAGGAAAGAAAAUACAAUUUGAGUUUCACUCAAUCAAUUCUUCAAAACUAAGAAAAAUAGAAGCCUAAUUGUCUAUUUAUACUUAUUACAAAAAAAGAUUAAAAUACCCUUAAUGAAGGGUGCUCCUUUGGAGUGUAAAAGAUGAGUAUCAAAAGACCAUAAUACCCCUAAGUUAAGGCGCCCUUAGAGUGCAUCCAAGGCUGCCUUGGAGUAUAUUCAAGGUCUCUCUUCACGUAUUAGCAAGUACACUCCCUUAGAUAAAUGCAACAUACUAUCACGAGCUUCCAUCUUCAUAAAUGGCGCCUUAUGUGUUUGGACUUGAAGAAUGGCGCCUCUUUCAUACUCUUAAAACCGAGGAUGGUUCAUUCUUCAAGGCUUAUGGUCCUCGGGUUAGUAUCAAGGCAAGCAUCCAAGCAACCUUCCACACACGAGAUUGCUUUAUGUCUUACUUAAAACGGGCCUUCAUUGCAUAUUCCUGUGCCUUUGGGGUGACCAAGUCUUGGGCCUUUAGGUGUUGGCCUCCAAAGAAGUCAUCCAAAGCUAAGACGACCAUUUGACUUAUAUCAUCCUCCCCUUCUUGAAAAGGAUUUGACCUCGAAUCCAAACCUUGCAAAACCAAAGAGAGGACAAACAAAUACAAAAUCCUCAUGGCAUGAAGGUUAGGAUUAGCACAACAAAUCAUCUCAACAUGCCAAGGUUGCACAUAUUUCCAAUAUAACCAAGGAUCUUUUGAAUCAAAUAUUAAGAGUCCAAUGAAAGAUGCACAAAGUAUUUGGUUAUGGGAUUCACCAAAAGUGAUGCUUCGUUUGUCAUGUAGACCAAGCAACAAGUUGGGUGCACCAAUAUCAUCAAUUCUAUAUUUGGCACCGGGGUUAAACAAGAAGAAUGACCAUAGACACGGGUCUAGAAAACAAUCCCAUUUCCCAUAGGCUUCACCCAAACUACAUGACAUACUCUCUACAAUAACAUACAUAUCAUCAAAAGCAAGUAGAGAGUAAAGAAAGGUAUCACUCAAGUCAACUUUUACUAAGGUGUCUUCAUGUAUGUACUCACCACUAGUUUCAACAUCAUCUCUAUUAGUACUCUCAAUAAUAAGGUCACACAUAGUAGAAUAAGAAGUAAUUUACAAGCAAUAGACACUUUCUCCUCUUAUGGAAGAUCCCUCAAGUAUACACAUACCACCAUAAAAAUCAAAGAGAUUAUUUCUUUAGUCUUUACAAGAAGCAAGCAAUUCAUCCUUAUAAUUAUCAAACAAAGGUGGGGUUUCAUAACAAGGAUCAUAUUCGCAAUCAUUUUUCAAGGAAAAACCGCCUAUUGGGUUUCUUAAAUAUUCAAGCAAAUCAACACAUUCAUCACCUAAUUGGUUAUUCCUUUCCAAGACUACAUAUUCCUUACCCUUAAGAGUACUCUCAUCUUUCAAGAAGAGAUUUUCAUCUUUAGGAGGAAUGUUGUCACACCAUAGUGGUUAGCAUGUAGGCUAUAGUAUCCAAAGUAAUCUAUACCAUCAUUUUCACCACUAGGCUCAUUAGGAGUGUUUAUAUCAUCUUCAAAUAGGAUAUUAUUCCUAAAGAGAGAUGAUCUAAUCCACGGGCAGAUUCAGAACACGUGAGUUCUUCACCCUCUAAAAGAUCUAUUAAGUUUCAAAGCAGUUUCAAGCACAAGAUUGUUCCGAUAAUAGCUCUCGGGUUCACUCCCAUUUUGUUGACCAACAUUAUCAAAUUCUUCAUUCACUUGAGUUCUAUUAAUUACAACACACAUAACCUCAAGAGGUGGGCAAUUUUCACACACGAGUUGAUCAAUACAAGUUUCACAAGACGAUGUACGUUCAUUCAACACAAUGGCCUCAACACUAGAUGGACACAAAUCAAUCUUACAAGAAGAUUCAAUUCGGUCAUCAAUAGGAUCUACUGGUGUAUCUACUCUCACAACAUGUACAUCAUCAACAAUAGGUAAAGAAUCAAUCGACGAUGUACUUUCAUUCAUCACAUUGGCUUCAACACUAGGUGGACAUAAAUUGAUCUUACAAGAAGAGUCAAUUCGGUCAUCAAUAGGAUCAACUAGUGUAUCCACACUUACAACAUGUACAUCAUCAUCAAGAGGAAAAGAAACAAUAGACUCACAAAUAGAUAAGCUACCACUCACGCUCAAUGGGCUACUAGCCAUACAAUCAUCGUUCACAUGCACAAAAAUGUAAGAGUUAGCUAUUUUACCUUUAAGUUCUUGAGCACUUGCGUUGGUUUGGAUCAUGGUAGCCCACUUUCUCUUUUGAGAAGUUCUCAUCACAAGGGUGUUUUUCAAGUCUCCUCCUUUGUUUCACCUCUUCAUCUCUUUUCCCAAAAUUGGGAUUUAGUGCACUAAGCAUUUGGCAUAUCUCUUCAAUGGUUGGAAAUGAAGCUAUCACAAUGGUCAUUGAUGCGAUCAAACGUGUCAUUAAAAUUAUUGACAGCCAUGGCACCUAAAAGAAAGAAACAAACCUACAAAAUGAACAAAAAAGUUAGUUCACAUAUCCUCACCAACUCUCUCACUCUCGGAUUCUUGCCUCACACUUGGUCUCACAAGUGUUGAAACUUUGGCAUAUACUUGACAAGUGAGUGAGGCAUGAUUCUACUUUGGCCCAGAAUGGAUUUUCGUUUGAUAUGACUCAAAGAAAAUUGCUAACAAACUUAAACCAACAAGUUACAAAGAAUUACAAAUGAUAAAAGCACAAAAGAAACGUAGACACGAAACAAAGAACUCUAGACUAAUUAUCAACCUAGUAGGUAGUUACUAGUUUGGUAAUUAGUGGUAGAAUCAACACAAAAGCAACUAGAAACAACAAAUGGAAACUUAGAAAUCUAAUUUAGGACUCAAUUUGGUUGUUUAUAUAAGCAAUGACGUGGCAACUAUGAUUGGACGCCACUUUUCAAAAUUUUCAAAUCCCAAUUCACUUAUUUCGGCUAAACAUAAUUAGGAGAAGACGAAAUUUCAAUUUUAGGGGGAAAAUUGAAAGUUUGAAGCCUUUUUGGAGCUUCAAAUGAAUUCAAAAGUGGAUUGGUCCCCUCAAGUGUACUUUCAAUUGUACUUGUUUGUCCCCUUGUCCCCUCUUCCUUUUUGGAAGACUUAGAAUAUGCUAGGAAAUAUUCUUGUGCAAACACUUAGUACACUCUCUUUCUUCUCCCUUUUUGGAUCAAACAAGCUACUUGAAUAUUCUUCUUCAACAAAAUUUGAAGAUGAUGGAUAAACAAGAUGAAUAUUCAAGAGUUGACCAAGGUUUGACCACUAGGCAAAUGAAUCCCAAAUUCAAAUUUUCUUUUAGAUCUAGGUUCCUUUAGCCAAGAUAAUUCAAAUAUCAACAAAUCAGCCCCAACACACCACAAACAAGGUAUUCACCAUGAGAUCCCACCUCAAAAAACUUCAAACAAGGAACAACCAUGGUGGAUCUAGCUCAAAAACAACCAAAUCUUGCUCUAAACUUAGAUAUAGACCCUUUAAGUGCUAGAGAACAAGAAUCUAACAUUAGAAACUAUCAAAACAAGCUAAAAAUUAAUAGAUCUAAGUUGAGAAAUUCGGAUCUACUAUCACACACACAAGAUUCAACACUUUUUUUUGUAUUUUUUGACUCUAGACUCUUUUUUUUGUUGAGAUUUUCUUAGAUCCAAGGCUUAGAGUUGUGGAAACAACUCUAAUACAUGACUCCGAUACUAAAUGAUACAAGAACUAACCUAAUAAUUGAAAUUUAAGACUAAAGAAGCAAAAAUCAACAACUAGAAGAAGAGUAGAUGAAGAAGAGAACACACGAAUUGCAUUAAACGUAAAGAUAGAUAGUGAGACAUACACCUACAUCAAUGAAUAGCACCAAGGUGUGUAUCGAACACCAAAACACACAACACCAAUGGAGGAUAACACCACACUCUUAGGUGGACACAAAGGGAUCAACUCCUCAAGCACCCAACCUUUCUUGCCAAAAUAUCAACAAGAGUGAUUUGACACUCAAAGAUGACCCUAGUUUUAAUGUCUUUUCCAAGACCUACACUAAGAUGGCUUUUACAAGCCCUACACUAAGGAAAGAAAAUACAAUUUGAGUUUCACUCAAUCAAUUCUUCAAAACUAAGAAAAAUAAAAGCCUAAUUGUCUAUUUAUACUUAUUACAGACAAAGACUAAAAUACCCUUAAUGAAGGGUGCUCCUUUGGAAUGUAAAAGAGGAGUAUCAAAAGACCAUAAUACCCCUAAGUUAAGGCGCCCUUGGAGUUUAUCCUAGGCUGCCUUGGAGUAUAUUCAAGGUCUCUCUUCACAUAUUAGCAAGUACACUCCCUUAGAUGAAGGAACAUACUCUCACGAGCUUCCAUCUUCAUAAAUGGCGCCUUGUAUGUUUGGACUUGAAGAAUGAAGCCUCUUUCAUUCUUUCAAAAUCGAGGAUGGUUCAUUCUUCAAGGUUUAUGGUCCUCGGGUUAGUAUCAAGGCAUGCAUCCAAGCAACCUUUCACACACGGAAUUGCUUUAUGUCUUGCUCAAAACGGGUCUUCCUUGCAUAUUCUUGUGCCCUCGAGGUGACCAAGUGUUGGGCCUUUAGGUAUUGGUCUCCAAAGAAGUUAUCAAAAGCUAAGACGACCAUUUGACUUGUAUCAUACUCCCAAAAUUUAGAGAAAAUAUAGUUAGAAGAUCAACAUAAAGGAGUCAGAUAUAUGCACAACAAAUUCAAAACUGAAAACGAAGUUCUCAUUCAUUAAUUAUAAGCAUACUAAAAGGAUAAAUUACUUAAUACGAUAUGAAAAUGUUAUUAAUCUCAGAGAUUCAACCCUUUAUAGAGGACUUAUAAUUAUCAAAUGAAGGUCGGAUUUGUAGCCCAAAGGAGAAGAGAUAACAUAGGAUAGCUUGAAAACACAUUCCAUGGGUAUUGAGUGCACAACACCUAAUGAGAGUUUGAGGUGAAAUGUUGUCUAAAUCAUACCAAAGCUGGACAAAAUGUAAUAUUAGCUCACUAAAAAGCUACGUAGAAGCAUAGACAACGAGCAAUUGUAAACGGAAGAAAGUCACCUGAGCCACCGGAAAUUGCCUGAGGUUUUAGUUCAUCGAAAAUCGCUUGAGCCGUCGAAAGUUGUUGGAAGCUGGUUGAACUCAUUGGAUAACGUAGGAAAAUUUUUUCCACUUUCCUUUUUCAUUUUAGCACUUUGCCUGAUUUGGACAUUUAAUUUUCUCUUUUAUAUUUUUAGAUUGGGGUUAGUUUUGG